RNAcentral lists this ribosomal RNA (253 nucleotides) under uncultured Prevotella sp. RNAcentral describes it as "partial 16S ribosomal RNA". It matches the Rfam family "Bacterial small subunit ribosomal RNA", at positions 524 to 776 of the family's 1533-position model. Lineage: Bacteria; Pseudomonadati; Bacteroidota; Bacteroidia; Bacteroidales; Prevotellaceae. The record is from RNAcentral.
UACGGAGGAUGCGAGCGUUAUCCGGAUUUAUUGGGUUUAAAGGGUGCGUAGGUUGUUUUUUAAGUCAGCGGUGAAAGUUUGUGGCUCAACCAUAAAAUUGCCGUUGAAACUGGAGGCCUUGAGUGCACACAGGGGUGCCGGAAUUCAUGGUGUAGCGGUGAAAUGCUUAGAUAUCAUGAAGAACUCCGAUCGCGAAGGCAAGUGUCCGGGGUGCAACUGACGCUGAGGCUCGAAAGUGCGGGUAUCAAACAGG